UACGGAGGGGGCAAGCGUUAUUCGGAAUUAUUGGGCGUAAAGAGCGCGUAGGCGGCUAGAUGUGUCAAAGGUGAAAUCCCUCGGCUCAACUGCGGAACUGCCUUUGAAACUGUCUGGCUUGAGGCCGGGAGAGGGUAGCGGAAUUCCCAGUGUAGCGGUGAAAUGCGUAGAUAUUGGGAGGAACACCAGUGGCGAAGGCGGCUACCUGGACCGGUUCUGACGCUGAGACGCGAAAGCGUGGGUAGCAAACAGG
Molecule: ribosomal RNA, 253 nt
Filed under: uncultured bacterium
Lineage: Bacteria
Description: partial 16S ribosomal RNA
Rfam family: Bacterial small subunit ribosomal RNA
Source: RNAcentral